RNAcentral lists this ribosomal RNA (492 nucleotides) under uncultured bacterium. RNAcentral's name for it is "partial 16S ribosomal RNA". It matches the Rfam family "Bacterial small subunit ribosomal RNA", at positions 29 to 507 of the family's 1533-position model. The record is from RNAcentral.
AGUGAACGCUGGCGGUAGGCCUAACACAUGCAAGUCGAACGGCAGCACAGUAAGAGCUUGCUCUUACGGGUGGCGAGUGGCGGACGGGUGAGGAAUACAUCGGAAUCUACUUUUUCGUGGGGGAUAACGUAGGGAAACUUACGCUAAUACCGCAUACGACCUACGGGUGAAAGCAGGGGAUCUUCGGACCUUGCGCGAUUGAAUGAGCCGAUGUCGGAUUAGCUAGUUGGCGGGGUAAAGGCCCACCAAGGCGACGAUCCGUAGCUGGUCUGAGAGGAUGAUCAGCCACACUGGAACUGAGACACGGUCCAGACUCCUACGGGAGGCAGCAGUGGGGAAUAUUGGACAAUGGGCGCAAGCCUGAUCCAGCCAUACCGCGUGGGUGAAGAAGGCCUUCGGGUUGUAAAGCCCUCUUGUUGGGAAAGAAAAGCAGCAGGUUAAUACCCCGCUGUUCUGACGGUACCCGAAGAAUAAGCACCGGCUAACUUCGUG